GAUGAAGAACGUAGCGAAAUGCGAUACGUAAUGUGAAUUGCAGAAUUCAGUGAAUCAUCGAAUCUUUGAACGCAUAUUGCGCUCUCUGGUAUUCCGGAGAGCAUGCUUGUUUGAGUAUCAGUAAACACCUCAACUCCCUUUUCUUUUUUGAAAUUGGAGCUGGACUUGAGUGAUCCCAACGCUUUCUUCCAAGAAAGUGGCGGGUUGCUUGAAAUGCAGGUGCAGCUGAACUUUUCUCUGAGCUAUAAGCAUAUCUAUUUAGUCUGCCUAAAAAACAGAUUAUUACCUUUGCUGCAGCUAACAUAAAGGAGACUAGUUCUUGUGCUGACUGAUGCAGGAUUCACAGAGACAGCUUCGGCUGACUUUGUAAACUCGAUCUCAAAUCAAGUAAGACUACCCGCUGAACUUAAGCAUAUCAAUAAGCGGAGGAA
RNAcentral lists this unclassified non-coding RNA (431 nucleotides) under soil metagenome. RNAcentral describes it as "partial contains 5.8S ribosomal RNA, internal transcribed spacer 2, and large subunit ribosomal RNA". The stretch from base 1 to 120 matches the Rfam family "5.8S ribosomal RNA", at positions 35 to 154 of the family's 154-position model. The record is from RNAcentral.